UUAUCUAGAAGUUCCUUCAGAGUCCCAUUAUUCUUGACUGCAGUGACAAUAAACUGAUGAUUCUGGUGGCGACAACAUCCUAGCACUUCAACCAAGGGUUGUUUACUAUCAUCGUCCAUUUUUUCAGACAUUUGGCACAGAGUUAAAAUGGUAGCAAUGUAGAUGGGCGGAGCUACGAUGGCGCGAAAAGGGGCAGAGGUUGAGCAUGACAUUUUUUUUCAACUUCUUGUCGUAAUUUUGGGAAGAUUCGAACAUGUUUGGGAACUAUAAUUAUAUAUUAGAAUGAUGAAUAAGGGGUGUUCGGUUACAGGUAUAGAUAAAAUUGAGAAGAAAAAGAAAAUACAAAAUCGUUUAAUAAAUGGUAUUCCAAAAGUUGCUGACAUAGAGUUAAUUAUAAGCAAAACUUAAAAAAGGGAAAGUGCAAUAUCCAAAGUAUAUUACAUACUGUCCGGUAUAUGAAACUAGUCAAAAGAGCUUUAUGAUCUUAAAACCCCUAGUUUAAUUCAAUUCAUAUUAAAACAUAAAAGUUGAGGGGCAGAUAUACAAUUAUCUUAGAAUCCUGGGGCUAAAAAGGUGCUUUAAACGUUUUCAACAAAAUUGGAAAAUCGGCGCCAUUAUUCAAAACAAUUCAUUUUCAGACCUCUCUCUCUCUCUCUCCUCUCUCUCUCUCAUCAUACACACGCACAGUCGCAUAUUCUGGUUCAGUGACGUGUGCUGCUGAUUGAUCUGGUAACCUCGAUUUCAAAUUUACAAUUGUACUCCGAAUUGAUUUUCUUUUCUUCUGCUGAUAAUCGACUCAGUCAGUCAAAUUAGGGAUUGAUUUGGUGAAUUGAAGGAAGCAAUAUCAAAAGGUUUCUAAUCUGAAAAUUGAUAGUGAACGUAAUUGUACUUUCUGCACAAUUUUUUGUUCAACAGCUUAGGAAGAGGGAAACUGAUACUCGGCUUAAUUUUUUGGUUCUGUAUCCCCCAAUUUCAUCACAGGGAGGUAAAUUGCUUGAGCUGAUUUUUUUUUUUUGUUUGUUUGAUUAUUCUGAAAUGGUACCUGGGUAUUAUGUAGUUGGAAUAUUGUAUUUGUAUUUUCUCGUCAAAUUUAUUAUUUUGCUGGUUUCCAGUUUAUCUGAAUUUGGAUGUUUUUUUUUAUUAUUAUUAUUAGUAUUAUUUUUUGAUAAUUUGGAUGGAUUGUUGUUGUGAAGUGUGUGAUUGGCUACGAAUAUAUCUUCUGCUCUCGAUUUCGGUAAUUGAUCUAUUAUUUCCUGAUUAUUAGUUGUAUGUGAUUAAAUGAUGAACAAGCUGAUAACGAUCUUCGUUCCUAAACGAAUUUAGCCUUUGCAACAGAAAUCUUAUUGUUUCUGAUUAUUAGUUAUAUGUGUUCAAAUAAAUCUGCUUCUUUUGAUUUGUUAGAUUAAAAGUAUUUUGUCCAGUUUACAGUAUAUCAGCUUAUAAUCAUUUUGGAGUACUUUGAUUGUGUGAUCUGUUUUUUCUUCCAUGCCAAUUCCGAAACAUCAAUAUAUGUUGAUUCUUUGUGUUUGUCGAUUCGAUACUUGCAUAUCACUUGUCGAUGCGUAGACUUCCCUGAUGCAACUUCUGUUCGAAAUAAUGCCGUAUUUGUGAUUAUUACUUUGUGAAGGUGUCAGAGCUGCUGGAAGUCAAUGCUGAAGGAACUGACAAAUGAAUUUGAAGAAAGGAUGAACUUAAUACAUAAGGAACAGAUGGAGAAGUGGCACGACAAAAUUAAGCAACUUCGAUUACCGAUUACUUGAUGCUGCAAAUGAGGAGACUGAUGCUCUCUUACACAAUGCUAAAUAUAUGCUGGCUAAAACGGAGAAGCAUUUUGUAAGUUCAGUACAUAAAUUUUUGGAUCUAAUAUUUAACCACUUGUUGCACUAUAACAGUAGUAAUAUUAGCAUGGCAUUAAUCCGGUAUUAUGGUUCUCAGUACGUUUUGAGGGUUCGGAAUUAAGAUAAAUAAAUAAGAAAAACUUAAUUUGUUA
This is a non-coding RNA of Erythranthe guttata (spotted monkey flower), 1990 nucleotides long. NCBI's taxonomy places the organism in Eukaryota, Viridiplantae, Streptophyta, Magnoliopsida, Lamiales, Phrymaceae. The record is from RefSeq and is a predicted model, not a curated record.